GUAUGUUUCAUUGUAUUCUGUGUGCAUGAGAACAGAGUGAUUUUCGUCCUGUUCUCACGACAUAAGCUGUGCUUUCAAAAAACACAUCCUAUGGAAGUUUAUGUUAAAGGUCAUAAAACUGUUAAACGCUCAUAAAUUGAGAGCUACUCCUAAAUUUAUGUUCUUCCUUACCUUAUCUGUUAAAAGCAUUCCAGACUGGAUGUAAACACUUCUGCAUCCACCUUUUCUUUGGUUCUUUGUGUGUGUGCGUAUAUAUACUCCUGUCUCCCACAAUAAACUUUGAACGUCUCACUGAGCACUGACUUGUGUGUAUCAUUGAGGGGUUCCCUGGUACCAGGCGGGACAAGCAGAAUACAGGCUGAGCACUGAGUAGACAAAAGGAGGUCUACCAAAAUUCAAGAAAUCCUUACAAUUUGGGGGCUCGUCCGGGAUACCUCUAAUCAGACUAAAGACGUGCUGCAGUGAUGUCCAACCCGUGAUGUGACAUAGAGAGAGUGACGUGACACAGAGGGAUCGUCUGGGGUUGCCACUGAAUGACUUUACUUCUGCUAUUAGUGUAGCAUUUCUGGUGGUGUCUUAGCGCCUCGUAAGGUGGGACGAGUGCAGAUUGGGCGUGCCCGCACUCUGAGCACUGUAUCGUCAAGAAAGGCAAUAGUUCACCACUAGUAGUUAUUUAUGAGUUUGCACUCAACCUGUCAAAUCUGUGUAUUUUUCGCUGUGUGCAAAAUCUUUUGUACAAGUAUGUUUCAGGUUAUGUUCCUGCGCCGCGUCCGAUGACCUAUUAUCCGCCAGCGACUUCUUGAAAGCUCUGAGUUUUAUUCAACGAUAUUUCUUAUGAAUAAAAGGGGGGAAUUGUAGGGAAUAUUUGAUUUUUAGUAUGUUUCAUUGUAUUCUGUGUGCAUGAGAACAGAGUGAUUUUCGUCCUGUUCUCACGACAUAAGCUGUGCUUUCAAAAAACACAUCCUAUGGAAGUUUAUGUUAAAGGUCAUAAAACUGUUAAACGCUCAUAAAUUGAGAGCUACUCCUAAAUUUAUGUUCUUCCUUACCUUAUCUGUUAAAAGCAUUCCAGACUGGAUGUAAACACUUCUGCAUCCACCUUUUCUUUGGUUCUUUGUGUGUGUGCGUAUAUAUACUCCUGUCUCCCACAAUAAACUUUGAACGUCUCACUGA
This is a long non-coding RNA of Clarias gariepinus (North African catfish), 1170 nucleotides long. RefSeq lists it as uncharacterized. The transcript has 2 exons. NCBI's taxonomy places the organism in Eukaryota, Metazoa, Chordata, Actinopteri, Siluriformes, Clariidae. The record is from RefSeq and is a predicted model, not a curated record.